Small nucleolar RNA from Spea bombifrons (plains spadefoot toad), 84 nucleotides. RefSeq annotates it as small nucleolar RNA SNORD121A. Lineage: Eukaryota; Metazoa; Chordata; Amphibia; Anura; Pelobatidae. The record is from RefSeq and is a predicted model, not a curated record. The transcript has a single exon.
AUGUGAAAGACGAUGAUGUGAGAUUCUCCAAGCACAUAUCUGAGACCGAUGUGCAGAAAUUACCAAUCCCUGAGUCUUUACCAG